Molecule: transfer RNA, 73 nt
Filed under: marine sediment metagenome
Description: tRNA-Ala
Rfam family: tRNA
About the family: Transfer RNA (tRNA) molecules are approximately 80 nucleotides in length. Their secondary structure includes four short double-helical elements and three loops (D, anti-codon, and T loops). Further hydrogen bonds mediate the characteristic L-shaped molecular structure. tRNAs have two regions of fundamental functional importance: the anti-codon, which is responsible for specific mRNA codon recognition, and the 3' end, to which the tRNAs corresponding amino acid is attached (by aminoacyl-tRNA synthetases). tRNAs cope with the degeneracy of the genetic code in two manners: having more than one tRNA (with a specific anti-codon) for a particular amino acid; and 'wobble' base-pairing, i.e. permitting non-standard base-pairing at the 3rd anti-codon position.
Source: RNAcentral
GGGGGUGUAGCUCAACUGGAAGAGCAUCUGCCUUGCACGCAGAAGGUCGCAGGUUCGAUCCCUGUCACCUCCA